GCUGUUUUCAUAAUAAAAAGAGGGGGGGGAGGGAAUUACCUAGUGUUUAUACCAUAUCUUGCAAUUGCUGCAUUUUAUUUCUUUUUUUUUUUUUUUUUUAAAAGUUGCAUAUAAGGAAAAUAAUCGAAAUAACAGAAUAUUGUGUAGAAUAGAUUUAACUAAAAUUCUCCUAUGAUUCAAUGUGACAGCCACUGUGUAUCCAUUCUCACUAAGGAAAUACUAUUCAAAAACACACCACCACUUGAUGACAGAGAACAAAAAAAUGCUACAGCUCAAUACCCAUCUAGUCAAAGCUCAUUAUCUCUUAACUGUCCCGCUUGAAUUUUUUCCAUAGUAUGGAAAAAUUAAGUUUUUCUUAGCAUGAAGUCUUUCGGCACAGGAAAUAAUUAGUAUCUUAAUAUUUUUGGCAACCAAGAAACAAAAAUUGCACCAUCACCCCCAAAAUGAUAACUACAACUAGUUCAGUGACUAGAAUGCUCAACUGGGACUCACAAUAGCUGAGCUCUAUUCCUGGUUCAGUCACUGACCUAUUGUGUGGCCUUCAUUAAGUCUCUUCACAUCUCUGUGCCUCUGAUUUUCCUCGCACCUUUUUCUGUCUUAUCUAUUUAGAUUGUAAACUCUACAGAGCAGGAACUACCUUAUGUGUUUGAACAGUGGGACUCCAAUCAUGUUUGGCGCCACUAGACACUAUUGUAAUACAAAUAAUAUGUCAGAAUAAAAAUAUUCUCUCU
Molecule: long non-coding RNA, 731 nt
Organism: Dermochelys coriacea (leatherback sea turtle)
Lineage: Eukaryota; Metazoa; Chordata; Testudines; Dermochelyidae
Exons: 2
Source: RefSeq, a predicted model, not a curated record